Long non-coding RNA from Lathyrus oleraceus (garden pea), 393 nucleotides. RefSeq lists it as uncharacterized. The transcript has 4 exons. The record is from RefSeq and is a predicted model, not a curated record. Lineage: Eukaryota; Viridiplantae; Streptophyta; Magnoliopsida; Fabales; Fabaceae.
GUCAUAUUUGAUAGGGAGAGCCAGCAGUUGAGGUUACAAAUGAAGGUGUUGAUGCUGCAGGGCAUACAAUUGGUACAACUUUGGAGGUCAUUUCCAACUUAGGAAGGUACCACACCUUUGCUAUGAUCAUGUCAGUCUUGAGGCCCUUAGAGGGACUUAUCAUCGUCUCAGUUUUAUUCGAUACAACAUCUUGCUCUCAUACACCUUAACAAAAUGGGGUAGCCGGACGUAAAAAUAUGCGUCUUGUAGAAACCGCUUGGACCCUACUUCUCUAUGGUGUCUUCGAGUCUACAAUAUUUGUUAAAGUAAAUGCCGUGACGGUGACGGUACCAGUGAUCACCCAUGGUUCUCUUUCUCUCUCUUUCAGGUUACUCCUACCCUAUCUCAUAUCGG